GACGAACGCUGGCGGCGUGCCUAAUGCAUGCAAGUAGAACGCUGAAGGAGGAGCUUGCUUCUCCGGAUGAGUUGCGAACGGGUGAGUAACGCGUAGGUAACCUGCCUGGUAGCGGGGGAUAACUAUUGGAAACGAUAUCUAAUACCGCAUAACAGUAGAUGUUGCAUGACAUUUGCUUAAAAGGUGCAAUUGCAUCACUACCAGAUGGACCUGCGUUGUAUUAGCUAGUUGGUGAGGUAACGGCUCACCAAGGCGACAAUACAUAGCCGACCUGAGAGGGUGAUCGGCCACACUGGGACUGAGACACGGCCCAGACUCCUACGGGAGGCAGCAGUAGGGAAUCUUCGGCAAUGGACGGAAGUCUGACCGAGCAACGCCGCGUGAGUGAAGAAGGUUUUCGGAUCGUAAAGCUCUGUUGUAAGAGAAGAACGAGUGUGAGAGUGGAAAGUUCACACUGUGACGGUAUCUUACCAGAAAGGGACGGCUAACUACGUG
Molecule: ribosomal RNA, 495 nt
Filed under: uncultured bacterium
Lineage: Bacteria
Description: partial 16S ribosomal RNA
Rfam family: Bacterial small subunit ribosomal RNA
Source: RNAcentral